UAGAGCCAGCRACUUUCUGAAGGUAAAUUUCUCCUUUCCUGCGAGAUGCGUUUAGUGUGGCUAAUGCAUAACUCUGACAACAUCCCCAGYGGUCCUUUGGGUCAGGCACCGCGCUGGGGUUUGGGUCAGCCAGGUGUUUAAAUGCAGAAAUCCCAGGAACCGGCCACCGCAGAAACUGAGAACGUGGAGAACACGGCAGGAAAGGUCUAAAGUAAGCGUAAUGUUGAUAAGUUUGGAGUACACUAUUAAAAAAGUACCACGUUCAAGGUAAGCAUCACGUAGGGAGAAGACACUGUUGCCUGCAUGCUGCUUGCUCAUUGAACCCCGAAGCCCUGGCUGGAAACGCUGGAGCUCUAUAUGUCGUAAAACUGGAGCUUGGGACAAACGUGMGGUUGGGGGCCAUGGCCACGCCGUGCUGGUACGGCUCAGGGUGAAAAGCACCUGGAGCAGGGGUGUGUGCCGCAUGCAACUCCAUGAGGAAAAACUCCAAAUUACCAUAAAGCAGAGAAAAUAUUUUGAAAUUGCUUAUCCUUCCAGGAGAAAUAUUUUUGUAAGAAUGCAACUAAAAUGAAUGCAAGUGUGGUGAGAGGGCCCGUCAAUGAGGAGCAUGCACACUGACAGACACAAAUGCUAGCAUUUAUAAAAAUAUAYGGAAAGUACCAGCCUGCUUGCAGUUUUAUGAAUCCAUGUGUCCAUGAAAUCAUUCAGUGCAUUUUGGUAACCACAAUAAUUUUCUUAAGCUUCAUCUCAAGUCCUGAAAAGGCAAUUCUUCUUUGCCCUGAGUCACCAGCUGCGUCAGAUGGUGUGUCCGCACUGCACUAUGGCAAGGAUGGUCCUCCCAUUUUGCCUUCUUCUGAUGGCUGCAAAUAAACACAGGCACUGCUGCGUGUGUAAGGAACUUCUUAGAACUGACAAAUAACUCAAAAUGUUUUAUGUUAAUUAAAUAUGCUCCUUCCAGAUGGUAUGUGGGAUCUGGCCUGGAGGUUUUGUUGGGAAACUCUCUAUGAGCAGCUGAMCUGGUUUGGGGUGGGAAUGUGAGCUGGAACUGUCCUCCUCAGCUGCAAUGGUCGUUGCUCUGUCUUUCCCAAUGAACCUCAAGGAUGGUGGAACAGCUUGAAUAAAUACAACGCAAGAGAUUUUUAAAGAUGACA
Molecule: long non-coding RNA, 1151 nt
Filed under: Dromaius novaehollandiae (emu)
Lineage: Eukaryota; Metazoa; Chordata; Aves; Casuariiformes; Dromaiidae
Description: lncRNA (ENSDNVG00000004298.1)
Source: RNAcentral